UGGGGAAUAUUGCACAAUGGAGGGAACUCUGAUGCAGCGACGCCGCGUGUACGAAGAAGGCUUUCGAGUCGUAAAGUUCUUUUAUAUGGGAAGAUAAUGACGGUACCAUAAGAAAAAGCCCCGGCUAACUACGUCCCAGCAGCCGCGGUAAUACGUAGGGGGCUAGCGUUGUCCGGAAUCACUGGGCGUAAAGGGUUCGCAGGCGGAAAUGCAAGUCAGGUGUAAAAGGCAGUAGCUUAACUACUGUAAGCAUUUGAAACUGCAUAUCUUGAGAAGAGUAGAGGUAAGUGGAAUUUUUAGUGUAGCGGUGAAAUGCGUAGAUAUUAAAAAGAAUACCGGUGGCGAAGGCGACUUACUGGGCUCAUUCUGACGCUGAGGAACGAAAGCGUGGGUAGCAAACAGG
Molecule: ribosomal RNA, 403 nt
Filed under: Fusobacteriota bacterium
Lineage: Bacteria; Fusobacteriati; Fusobacteriota
Description: Fusobacteria bacterium partial 16S ribosomal RNA
Rfam family: Bacterial small subunit ribosomal RNA
Source: RNAcentral